Molecule: transfer RNA, 71 nt
Filed under: Candidatus Giovannonibacteria bacterium RIFCSPLOWO2_01_FULL_46_13
Lineage: Bacteria; Candidatus Giovannoniibacteriota
Description: tRNA-Gly
Rfam family: tRNA
About the family: Transfer RNA (tRNA) molecules are approximately 80 nucleotides in length.
Source: RNAcentral
GCGAGUGUAGUAUAGUGGUAAUAUAUUUGCUUCCCAAGCAAGGGACGCGGGUUCGAUUCCCGCCACUCGCA